This 830-nucleotide ribosomal RNA is filed under the name uncultured bacterium. Its description in RNAcentral is "bacterial SSU rRNA". It matches the Rfam family "Bacterial small subunit ribosomal RNA", at positions 75 to 910 of the family's 1533-position model. The record is from RNAcentral.
GGUUUUCGGACCUAGAGACCGGCGCACGGGUGCGUAACGCGUAUGCAAUCUACCUUUUACAGAGGGAUAGCCCAGAGAAAUUUGGAUUAAUACCUCAUAGUAUUAUUGAAUGGCAUCAUUUAAUAAUUAAAGUCACAACGGUAAAAGAUGAGCAUGCGUCCCAUUAGCUUGUUGGUAAGGUAACGGCUUACCAAGGCAACGAUGGGUAGGGGUCCUGAGAGGGAGAUCCCCCACACUGGUACUGAGACACGGACCAGACUCCUACGGGAGGCAGCAGUGAGGAAUAUUGGUCAAUGGGCGCAAGCCUGAACCAGCCAUGCCGCGUGCAGGAUGAAGCAUCUAUGGUGUGUAAACUGCUUUUGUACGAGAAGAAACACUCCUUCGUGAAGGAGCUUGACGGUAUCGUAAGAAUAAGGACCGGCUAACUCCGUGCCAGCAGCCGCGGUAAUACGGAGGGUCCAAGCGUUAUCCGGAAUCAUUGGGUUUAAAGGGUCCGUAGGCGGUUUUGUAAGUCAGUGGUGAAAGCCCAUCGCUCAACGGUGGAACGGCCAUUGAUACUGCAAGACUUGAAUUAUUGGGAAGUAACUAGAAUAUGUAGUGUAGCGGUGAAAUGCUUAGAGAUUACAUGGAAUACCAAUUGCGAAGGCAGGUUACUACCAAUAUAUUGACGCUGAUGGACGAAAGCGUGGGGAGCGAACAGGAUUAGAUACCCUGGUAGUCCACGCCGUAAACGAUGGAUACUAGCUGUUCGGAGCAAUCUGAGUGGCUAAGCGAAAGUGAUAAGUAUCUCACCUGGGGAGUACGUUCGCAAGAAUGAAACUCAAAGGAAU